Molecule: transfer RNA, 70 nt
Filed under: Camelus bactrianus (Bactrian camel)
Lineage: Eukaryota; Metazoa; Chordata; Mammalia; Artiodactyla; Camelidae
Also listed under: 2 other names
Rfam family: tRNA
About the family: Transfer RNA (tRNA) molecules are approximately 80 nucleotides in length. Their secondary structure includes four short double-helical elements and three loops (D, anti-codon, and T loops).
Source: Rfam by way of RNAcentral
GGGUGUAGCUCAGAGGCAGAGCACAUGCUUGGCAUGCAUGAGGUCCUGGGUUCAAUCCCCAGGACAUCCA